Molecule: ribosomal RNA, 327 nt
Filed under: uncultured eukaryote
Lineage: Eukaryota
Description: partial 18S ribosomal RNA
Rfam family: Eukaryotic small subunit ribosomal RNA
Source: RNAcentral
CCCUUAGAUGUUCUGGGCCGCACACGCGCUACACUGAAGGAGGCAGCGUGUACUCCUGGAUCGAAAGAUUUGGGUAACCCGCGAAUCUCCUUCGUGCUAGGGAUUGAGGUUUGCAAUUAUCCUUCAUGAACGAGGAAUUCCCAGUAAGUGCAAGCCAUAAGCUUGCGCUGACUACGUCCCUGCCCUUUGUACACACCGCCCGUCGCUACUACCGAUUGAAUGAUUUAGUGAGGACUUCGGACUGGGACCGAUGCGGCUUUCGGGCUGCGUCGGUAUUCUGGAAAGAUGUCCAAACUGUAUCAUUUAGAGGAAGUAAAAGUCGUAACA